AUAGGAAAAAUUCCUAUAGGAAAAAUUCCUAUAGGAAAAAUUCUUAUAGGAAUUUUUCCUAUAGGAAUUCCUAUAGGA
Paramuricea clavata is the source of this 78-nucleotide non-coding RNA. The record is from the annotation of a GenBank genome assembly. Lineage: Eukaryota; Metazoa; Cnidaria; Anthozoa; Malacalcyonacea; Plexauridae.